Molecule: small RNA, 671 nt
Filed under: Cryptococcus neoformans H99
Lineage: Eukaryota; Fungi; Basidiomycota; Tremellomycetes; Tremellales; Cryptococcaceae
Description: Cryptococcus neoformans var. grubii H99 hypothetical RNA
Source: RNAcentral
UUCACGAUGAGAUUGAAAACCUCUUGCAUAACAUCGUGACAGAAGAUCUCCAGCAAGUUGAGGAUCAAUUACUUUUUCGCUUCAAAAUGAGACCAUAUCACUUUUACCUUUAGUUGUUUCAUUGUACUAUCUAAGAGGACUGAUAUUAUACCAGUACGGCUGUGCGUGGUAGUAGGUGCUAGUUACUGUUGCAAUCCUUUAUUCGGGCCUGCAGAUAAUCAGGCCGAGGAGGGACUAACGGCGAUAGCAAUGGCGCGGCAGCAUGCAUUCUAUUAUACCACGACUUCUAAUCAUUAAUUCGCCUUGAAAGAAAUGACUGCCCUCUGGAUUAUCCAGGCAUCAUCAUCAUUCAACAUGCCGAUGUCUUCCACGGUUCCACCCGCUGUGAGGUAUGAGCUAACUCUUCGUCCUCAUAUCGCACACAUACCGCCAUGUUCUACCAACGAACCUGCAAGAGCACUUUCCAAGGCCGUCGGUAAAUUGUUAGGUGACGGAAAAGCCAUGGAAUUUAGGCAAAGGACAUUGGACGGAAUUGAAAGACAUUAUAACAGGCAGGGGUCAGAAGAUUGGGCGAGAUGUUGCUACGGAGCGGAUAUGGAAGGAGAUAAGUCUGGAAACUGAGGAAAAGAACAUGUAUAAUCCAGUAAAGAUGUUUGACUUCUUGAUAAUAA